RNAcentral lists this ribosomal RNA (261 nucleotides) under uncultured archaeon. RNAcentral describes it as "partial 16S ribosomal RNA". It matches the Rfam family "Archaeal small subunit ribosomal RNA", at positions 748 to 1009 of the family's 1478-position model. The record is from RNAcentral.
UAGCCGUAAACGAUACUCGCUAGGUGUCGGCCACGGUGCGACCGUUGUCGGUGCCGUAGGGAAGCCGUGAAGCGAGCCACCUGGGAAGUACGGCCGCAAGGCUGAAACUUAAAGGACUUGGCGGGGGAGCACAACAACGGGUGGAGCUUGCGGUUUAAUUGGAUUCAACGCCGGAAAUCUUACCGGGACCGACAGCAACAUGAAGGCCAAGCUGAAGACUUUGCCGGAUUAGCUGAGAGGAGGUGCAUGGCGUAGUCGUGU